Eupeodes corollae is the source of this 464-nucleotide long non-coding RNA. RefSeq lists it as uncharacterized. NCBI's taxonomy places the organism in Eukaryota, Metazoa, Arthropoda, Insecta, Diptera, Syrphidae. The transcript has 3 exons. The record is from RefSeq and is a predicted model, not a curated record.
CGUUUACACAACUUUUGUUGAUGUGAAUAUAAACAUCAUCCAUCGAGUGAUGAUGUACUAACAAUAACUUAAUGGCUUCUGAUGGGCAAGGUACGAGUAGCCAAAUAAAAAGGUGUCAGUGGUCAAGAGGCGUUCUUCGUUAAAUCCGUCGAUUCAUGAAUAAAUGGAUAAAUGGAAUGGAGGAGGCUUUACAGUUUACUUCACUGUCAAACUGGGUUAAGUGACAUCAAUUACAACUCUGAUGAACUUUAAAGUUUGUUAUUCACCACAACAAUUAAGUAAACAUAGUGUAGUUGUUAUCAUGUUGAAAUAAUUUCCGUUUUGUUUCAGAGAUUAUCAUAAUUAUACACAAGUGGAAUGGGGAUGUGGAAAUUACUUGAAAAAAAAUGUUGAUUCAUUCAAAAAUAUAAACACCACUUAUUGACGUUGGCUUUGCAAUUUUUUGUUUUGAAAUAUUUUGAUAU